Drosophila albomicans is the source of this 354-nucleotide long non-coding RNA. RefSeq lists it as uncharacterized. The record is from RefSeq and is a predicted model, not a curated record. The transcript has 2 exons. Lineage: Eukaryota; Metazoa; Arthropoda; Insecta; Diptera; Drosophilidae.
AGUGAUGAUUUCUGAAAAUCUUAUUAUUAUUCGGCAUAUUAUUUGGUAUAUUUUAAGAAUAUUACCGUACUAUUUAUCUUUUAUUCAAAAUUGGUAGCGAGUAUCUUACAGUUGAGCCCACACUUCUUACUUGUUUUUAUCUGAUCUUUGACAAUUAACCAUGAGGUGGAUUCCGAAUUUAUUUCUUUUUGCACUGCUGUGCUCAGUUGCAUUAGCUAUUCCAGGAAGUCUUCCCACAAGACCACCUUCACCAACUAGACCACCGCCCGCAGGGUGGGGAAAGUGAUUAUUUCAACUACAAUGUUCUAAAUGAAAAGGAAAUAAAUAUAAUUCAAGUGUAUAUUUUGUUGAAAA